Molecule: ribosomal RNA, 1307 nt
Filed under: metagenome
Description: bacterial LSU rRNA
Rfam family: Bacterial large subunit ribosomal RNA
Source: RNAcentral
UCGAGCUUCUACGGAAGCGAAGUUGGUGACGUCAAGCUUCCAAGAAAAGCCCUAUACCCGUUAAGGCAUGAUUACCUGUACCCGAAACCGACACAGGUGGGGUGGUAGAGAAUACCGAGGGGCGCGAGGUAACUCUCUCUAAGGAACUCGGCAAAAUGACCCCGUAACUUCGGGUGAAGGGGUGCCAGCGCGAGCUGGUCGCAGUGAAUAGGCCCAGGCGACUGUUUACCAAAAACACAGGUCUCCGCUAAGUCGCAAGACGAUGUAUGGGGGCUGACGCCUGCCCAGUGCCGGAAGGUUAAAGAAGUUGGUCAGCGCAAGCGAAGCUAACGACUGAAGCCCCGGUGAACGGCGGCCGUAACAAUAACGGUCCUAAGGUAGCGAAAUUCCUUGUCGGGUAAGUUCCGACCCGCACGAAAGGCGUAACGAUCUGGGCGCUGUCUCGGAGAGAGGCUCGGCGAGAUAGAAUUGUCUGUGAAGAUGCGGACUACGUGCACCCGGACAGAAAGACCCUAUGAAGCUUUACUGUAGCUUGGUAUUGUGCUCGGGCUCGCAAUGCGCAGGAUAGGUGGGAGGCUUUGAUCCAUUGCUUGUGGGUGAUGGUGAGCCACUGGUGAGAUACCACUCUUUGCGAGCUAGGGUUCUAACGGUUACCCGUCAUCCGGGAACCGGACAGUAUCUGGUGGGCAGUUUGACUGGGGCGGUCGCCUCCUAAAAGGUAACGGAGGCGCGCAAAGGUUUGCUCAGGCUGGUUGGAAAUCAGCCGACGAGUGUAAAAGCAGAAGCAAGCUUGACUGUGAGACCUACAAGUCGAACAGGGAGGAAACUCGGCUUUAGUGAUCCGACGGUUCUGAGUGGAAGGGCCGUCGCUCAACGGAUAAAAGUUACUCUAAGGAUAACAGGCUGAUCUCCUCCAAGAGUUCACAUCGACGGGGAGGUUUGGCACCUCGAUGUCGGCUCAUCGCAACCUGGGGCUGAAGUCGGUCCCAAGGGUUGGGCUGUUCGCCCAUUAAAGCGGUACGCGAGCUGGGUUCAGAACGUCGUGAGACAGUUCGGUCCAUAUCCGGUGCAUGCGCAGGAAUAUUGAGAGGAUUUCUCCCUAGUACGAGAGGACCGGGAGGAACGCACCUCUGGUGUACCAGUUAUCGUGCCAACGGUAAACGCUGGGUAGCCAUGUGCGGAGUGGAUAACCGCUGAAAGCAUCUAAGUGGGAAGCCCACCUCAAGAUGAGUAUUCCCAUGGCUUAAGCCAGUAAGGUCACGGGAAGAACACCCGUUGAUAGGCUCUAUGUGGAAGCGCAGUAAUGC